GAGGUGAAGAACGUGGGCCUUAUUAUCUGCAACACCAGCGUCAGAGUAUUUCUGUGUGUCUUGGGCAAAGGCAAGACAACCUCCAGAGAAAGCAUGGACAAAGGUUUCUGAUUUGUCGGGUGAAAAAAAUCUGAUGAAUACCACAGAGUACUGCCUGACAGACCUGCAUGAGAAGAUUUCUCCAACAGAAAAUAGAAGACUUUGUCUCGUUAUUUGGUACCUUCAGAAAUUUGGAAUGCAAGGGCAAAUGACUGCUUUUACAUAUCUUAUGGGAACGACAAAAAUUAAAUAGCAUUUUACUUCUCCAAAACUGGACUGGCUGUUAUCUGAUCAUUUCCUUAUGACAAAAUUUCACUGGUUUUAUAAUGUAGCUUUUUGUCUGUUGCUGUCAUGAAGUUAACUCAAAGUAGCUCUUGUUUUUCUUCUGACAUUAGGAACCAGUCUCUACCUUCAAAAAAUCAGGGUUGAUAUCCCUUAUAAAUCUUUAAGUUGUCUAUGAGAUAUAAAUUCCUUGCUAAUUUCAACACAUAUGCAUUUUUUUGUUUCUAAAGCCCCAUAGAUUAUGGAUUCCUUUGGAAAUUUACUCUGUGUAUUUCCUUUUGUUAUUGAUAAAUGAUGUAAUGUUUGAAAUGUGAUAAAUACCAAUUUUCUGCAACAAUAAUUAACAGCAGUGCUGAUAUUUAACAUAAGAAAACUAAACCUUGGUGUUGUGUUCUGUUAUUUAAUGCAAAUGCUGAUCCUGUUUUACGUAAGUGUACUUUUCCUAAAUGGUAUUGUAGUGGUCAAACCUCAUAAGCUCUGGAACACAUUUACUGAGUCUCACCCUUUCCCUCUUGCCCCUGGGACACAAUGUCAAAGCAAAAAGUCAAGGAUAAAAUAAUAAAUGUGGAAUGUGUCUCAGCUAAGAAAUGAGAAGCAAAAUUCUGGCAAAAACUAAGGGUUUUCUUUUUAUUCACUUUUGAUUAUACAGAAGCUAGUAGAAUAUCAAUCCCUGUCUAUGCACACUGACUUGCAGAAUUGAUGCAGUAUGGAUGAUCUGUAUAAAUCUUUUAAGUGUAACCUCUGAUUUGUUUAAAUGUGUCACUCUUGUUCAUUCACUUUGACACAGCAGUCUGAGAAUUUAAUGUGUGAUGGGCUAUAGAUAACAGUAAUACUCCUAAGGAAAAAAGAGUAUGUGUUUUCAUUUUGUGUCAGAGAAUAGACAGAGAAGGGAAAACAAUAAAAUGCAGAUUUAAAAUGUC
Long non-coding RNA from Hirundo rustica (Barn swallow), 1241 nucleotides. RefSeq lists it as uncharacterized. The record is from RefSeq and is a predicted model, not a curated record. The transcript has 4 exons. NCBI's taxonomy places the organism in Eukaryota, Metazoa, Chordata, Aves, Passeriformes, Hirundinidae.